This 254-nucleotide ribosomal RNA is filed under the name uncultured bacterium. RNAcentral describes it as "partial 16S ribosomal RNA". It matches the Rfam family "Bacterial small subunit ribosomal RNA", at positions 524 to 777 of the family's 1533-position model. The record is from RNAcentral.
UACGGAGGGUGCAAGCGUUAUCCGGAUUCACUGGGUUUAAAGGGUGCGUAGGUGGGCUGGUAAGUCAGUGGUGAAAUCUCCAGGCUUAACUUGGAAACUGCCAUUGAUACUAUUAGUCUUGAAUACCGUGGAGGUCAGCGGAAUAUGUCAUGUAGCGGUGAAAUGCUUAGAUAUGACAUAGAACACCAAUUGCGUAGGCAGCUUACUACACGAUCAUUGACGCUGAGGCACGAAAGCGUGGGGAGCAAACAGGA